Long non-coding RNA from Cotesia glomerata, 166 nucleotides. RefSeq lists it as uncharacterized. The transcript has 4 exons. The record is from RefSeq and is a predicted model, not a curated record. Lineage: Eukaryota; Metazoa; Arthropoda; Insecta; Hymenoptera; Braconidae.
UAAAAAUCAAACUUCAAUAAUACACGGAAAGAAUAAGAUGACACUGAAUAUCAUCUCAGAUUAUACUCAGUGAUAUCUGUGGUGAAAAAAAUUUAAGAUUGUAGCUAAAAAAAUCCAGAUUAUACUGCGUGAUAUCUGGAUUAUACUCAUUGUAACCUUUCAUUUA